Molecule: unclassified non-coding RNA, 404 nt
Filed under: soil metagenome
Description: partial contains 5.8S ribosomal RNA, internal transcribed spacer 2, and large subunit ribosomal RNA
Rfam family: 5.8S ribosomal RNA (bases 1-121)
Source: RNAcentral
GAUGAAGAACGCAGCGAAAUGCGAUAAGUAAUGUGAAUUGCAGAAUUCAGUGAAUCAUCGAAUCUUUGAACGCACCUUGCGCCCUUUGGCUAUUCCGAAGGGCAUGCCUGUUUGAGUAUCAUGAACACCUCAACUCUCAUGGUUUGCCAUGAUGAGCUUGGACUUUGGGGGUCUUGCCGGCCUAUGGGUCAGCUCCUCUCAAAUUAAUCAGCUUGCCAGUGUUUGGUGGCAUCACAGGUGUGAUAACUAUCUACGCUUGUGGUUUUCCAUCAGGUAACCUUCAGUGAUGGAGGUUCGCUGGGGCUCAUAAAUGUCUCUCCUCAGUGAGGACAGCUUUUUUGAACGUUUGAUCUCAAAUCAGGUAGGACUACCCGCUGAACUUAAGCAUAUCAAUAAGCGGAGGA